RNAcentral lists this ribosomal RNA (408 nucleotides) under Veillonellaceae bacterium oral taxon 155. RNAcentral's name for it is "bacterial SSU rRNA". It matches the Rfam family "Bacterial small subunit ribosomal RNA", at positions 67 to 465 of the family's 1533-position model. Lineage: Bacteria; Bacillati; Bacillota; Negativicutes; Veillonellales; Veillonellaceae. The record is from RNAcentral.
CGGAGCGAUUUAUUUCGGUAAAUCACUUAGUGGCAAACCGGGUGAGUAACGCGUAGGCAACCUGCCCUCAGGAUGGGGACAACGGCUCGAAAGAGCCGCUAAUACCGAAUGACGUAACUCUUCCACAUGGAAGAGAUACUAAAGAUGGGUCAAACCAUCGCCUAAGGAUGGGCCUGCGUCUGAUUAGCCAGUUGGUGAGGUAACGGCUCACCAAAGCGACGAUCAGUAGCCGGUCUGAGAGGAUGAACGGCCACAAUGGGAGUGAGACACGGCCCAUACUCCUACGGGAGGCAGCAGUGGGGAAUCUUCCGCAAUGGGCGAAAGCCUGACGGAGCAACGCCGCGUGAGUGAAGAAGGUCUUCGGAUCGUAAAGCUCUGUUGUCGGGGACGAAAGAGUAGACGAGGUUU